RNAcentral lists this ribosomal RNA (252 nucleotides) under uncultured bacterium. RNAcentral's name for it is "partial 16S ribosomal RNA". It matches the Rfam family "Bacterial small subunit ribosomal RNA", at positions 524 to 776 of the family's 1533-position model. The record is from RNAcentral.
UACGUAGGUCCCGAGCGUUGUCCGGAUUUAUUGGGCGUAAAGCGAGCGCAGGUGGUUUAUUAAGUCUGGUGUAAAAGGCGGUGGCUCAACCAUUGUAUGCAUUGGAAACUGGUAGACUUGAGUGCAGGAGAGGAGAGUGGAAUUCCAUGUGUAGCGGUGAAAUGCGUAGAUAUAUGGAGGAACACCGGUGGCGAAAGCGGCUCUCUGGCCUGUAACUGACACUGAGGCUCGAAAGCGUGGGGAUCGAACAGG